AUGGCAGCUAUGCUUUCUUGCCAUGGUGCUCAGUCCAGUGACGUGUAUGCACCUGGUAGCCGUGCCGCCAGAGCUAAUAAACGGUGUUAUGUCCAGAACGAAGAGGACAUAGAGGAGGAGGUCAAUGAAGAGGAGCCAGCACAUCAAGAGGAGCCAACACAUCAUGAUGAGCAUGAGUAUGAUGCAACACAUCAAGAGGAUCAUGAGUAUGAUGUUGAUGCUCCACAACCAUCACAGGUUACACAACCGAAACAAGGCAAUGCCCGCUCUAAACAAGGCAAAGCAAUAGCUAAGACACCGGGCAAGAAAGGUAGAAAGAAGACAUGGAACACUCAAUUCCAUAGUCCGGAGUAUCCUCAUCAAUUUAUGCCUACGGGAAUGCAAUAA
This 387-nucleotide ribosomal RNA is filed under the name Triticum aestivum (bread wheat). RNAcentral's name for it is "partial small subunit ribosomal RNA". The record is from RNAcentral. Lineage: Eukaryota; Viridiplantae; Streptophyta; Magnoliopsida; Poales; Poaceae.